GGGCCCGUAGCUCAGUUGGAUAGAGCACCUGCCUUCUAAGCAGGGGGUCGGCGGUUCGAAUCCGCCCGGGCCCG
Molecule: transfer RNA, 74 nt
Filed under: Elusimicrobiota bacterium
Lineage: Bacteria; Pseudomonadati; Elusimicrobiota
Description: Elusimicrobia bacterium (activated sludge metagenome) tRNA-Arg
Rfam family: tRNA
About the family: Transfer RNA (tRNA) molecules are approximately 80 nucleotides in length.
Source: RNAcentral